UCCAAAAAUUGAACACGACAGCAAAGUCGAGAUGAUACAAAUCAACUCCUAGUGGAGGAUUAUAGUUCUUUCUAUAUAAGCUACGAGUUUGAAAAUAUUCAAAGCAAGGUCAUAUCGUAGCGGUAGUGGUAUAUCUGAGAUUAUUCUAAGUUUCCUCUCAUCCAGUAGUUUCGGAAGAACAUCACUUCGUUCAAAAUGAAGCCAAUGAUUUUUACUGUUUGUAUCGUGCUGUGUGCAAUGCUGCUUACAGUCGAAGGUCGUAAACGCCACAAGCGAUCUUCUAGUAGUUCGGGCAGCACCAGCACCAGCACCAGCGGCAGUAGCAGCGAUAGCAGUGAAGAAACCGCGGCGGUUACUCCAGCGGUCCCAGCUCCGGCUCCUACCGCAGCCCCAGCCCCUCUUCUACUAGGUCG
This is a long non-coding RNA of Strongylocentrotus purpuratus (purple sea urchin), 413 nucleotides long. RefSeq lists it as uncharacterized. The record is from RefSeq and is a predicted model, not a curated record. The transcript is spliced from 3 exons. NCBI's taxonomy places the organism in Eukaryota, Metazoa, Echinodermata, Echinoidea, Camarodonta, Strongylocentrotidae.